AGUGAUUGGAUAAAUAUUAGCUUUUUUUUUUUAAUUAACAGUUUUUUGUUUUGGUGGAUUUGAAUGACAUAUUUAAUUAAAACUGUCUUUUAAUUUCAUUUUAAAGCUUAAGACAUUUAUUUAUUUUUCUCUUACCCAUUGCUUUUACUGAUUAGGUAUGAAUUUCAGCCCUUUAUUUCCUUCUAAUUUCGGAGAUUUUUCUCAGAAUAUCUCUACACCCAGUGAACAGCAGCAACCCUUAACCCAGAAUUCUUCAGGAAAAACAGAAUAUAUGGCUUUUCCAAAACCUUUUGAAAGCAGUUCCUCUAUUGGAGCAGAGAAACCAAGGAAUAAAAAACUGCCUGAAGAGGAGGUGGAAAGCAGUAGGACACCAUGGUUAUAUGAACAAGAAGGUGAAGUAGAGAAACCAUUUAUCAAGACUGGAUUUGCAGUGUCUGUAGAAAAAUCUACAAAUAGUAACCGCAAAAAUCAAUUAGAUACAAACGGAAGAAGACGCCAGUUUGAUGAAGAAUCACUGGAAAGCUUUAGCAGUAUGCCUGAUCCAGUAGAUCCAACAACAGUGACUAAAACAUUCAAGACAAGAAAAGCAUCUGCACAGGCCAGCCUGGCAUCUAAAGAUAAAACUCCCAAGUCAAAAAGUA
RNAcentral lists this small RNA (641 nucleotides) under Pongo abelii (Sumatran orangutan). Its description in RNAcentral is "retained intron". The record is from RNAcentral. Lineage: Eukaryota; Metazoa; Chordata; Mammalia; Primates; Hominidae.